This 495-nucleotide ribosomal RNA is filed under the name uncultured bacterium. RNAcentral describes it as "partial 16S ribosomal RNA". It matches the Rfam family "Bacterial small subunit ribosomal RNA", at positions 28 to 523 of the family's 1533-position model. The record is from RNAcentral.
GAUGAACGCUAGCGGGAGGCCUAACACAUGCAAGCCGAGCGGUAGAGAUUCUUCGGAAUCUUGAGAGCGGCGUACGGGUGCGGAACACGUGUGCAACCUGCCUUUAUCAGGGGGAUAGCCUUUCGAAAGGAAGAUUAAUACCCCAUAAUAUAUUGAAUGGCAUCAUUUGAUAUUGAAAACUCCGGUGGAUAGAGAUGGGCACGCGCAAGAUUAGAUAGUUGGUGAGGUAACGGCUCACCAAGUCUACGAUCUUUAGGGGGCCUGAGAGGGUGAUCCCCCGCACUGGUACUGAGACACGGACCAGACUCCUACGGGAGGCAGCAGUGAGGAAUAUUGGACAAUGGGUGCGAGCCUGAUCCAGCCAUCCCGCGUGAAGGACGACGGCCCUAUGGGUUGUAAACUUCUUUUGUAUAGGGAUAAACCUAGAUACGUGUAUCUAGCUGAAGGUACUGUACGAAUAAGCACCGGCUAACUACGUGCCAGCCGCCGCGGUAA